CCCCUCGCCUCGAGCUCAGCGGAGGCGCCGUGCUUUGAGCACCACGCGUGCGUUCCUCACGCGCAUUUGCAAUAGGAGCAGAUUGUCUCGCCUGACCAGGUUGCCAACCGCGUGCACACACAUACUAAACAAAACACAGCAGCUGCUAGCGCCUCAGCCUGCGGCCCGGCACCAGCCCCCCAUCGGCCCAAACAGCCCGCGCGCCGUGCGCCCACGGCGGCAGAGCGCCCCAAGCAGACGCCAGAGCCCGCGGACCCCAGCCCCCGCCGAGACGCAAACCCCAACCGCGGCCACACGACGCAAAAGCCUGGACGGCAGCGAAAGCACAAAACCCAUCAUCAUUCUCCGACAGUAGCGCCAGACGCAGGGCCUGUCGCCGGCAAGCUUUCCAGGGGCGACGCCGUUUAGGCGGUCUUGGUCUGCUUCUGCACGGUGAUCCAGCGGGCGAACAGGUCGUAGUCGUCGCCGGCGUAGUCCGACUCCACCAGCAUCUGCGUGUGUGUUGUGGAAUGGAGAGCGCGGGGAGGUCAGUUUGAGGCGCAAGCCGGCGCUGCCAUGCAGCAGCCCCACGGCCCUGCAGUAGCUGCGGCCGAGAAGCCUCGGCGCCAGCCCCAGCGGCCCCAACCCAAAGCCCGUAUGCUGCCACUGACAGCACAAUACAGCAGCAGUAGCAGCAACCGAACAACUCACGUUCUUGUAGAACUUCUUGCCGAUGGCCUUGAUGGCCUUGUCCUUCUGGCCGCCGGUCUUCUCGCCCUUGGCGAUCUUGGCCAGCUUCUCGCUGCGCUUGGCGGCCUUCUUGGUGGAGCGGGUGAUCUCCACGCGGCGGGCCACCUGGGUGGUGUGGCGAGGCGGGUGUGGGCGGGGGCCCGGGAUUAGAAAUACAGCCAGGUAGCUCGGGUGCCUCUAUGUCGCUCCUGUGCCUCAAGCCUCAAGGUCAAGGAAGAAGGCUGUGUGUGCGAGAAGCUGCAGCACACCAACCCAAGCGAUACCAGCCCUACGCACGCGUGCCCGCAUCCCCAUAUCGCCCGCUUCAACCACACAUCCACAGCCCCGGAACCGCAUCCGCCCACCUUGGCGUAGGGGUUGAGCUUGAGCAUGGCGCCCAGGUUGCGCAGGGGGUUCUUCUUGAGCGGCGCGUGCUUGGGGCCGGCGCUCUUGGCGGGCCGGACAGCCGACUGGAUCUCGUCGCUGUUGAUCAGGCGGGCCAG
RNAcentral lists this long non-coding RNA (1211 nucleotides) under Chlamydomonas reinhardtii. RNAcentral describes it as "long non-coding RNA (CREI_LNC000806)". Lineage: Eukaryota; Viridiplantae; Chlorophyta; Chlorophyceae; Chlamydomonadales; Chlamydomonadaceae. The record is from RNAcentral.